Molecule: ribosomal RNA, 253 nt
Filed under: Subdoligranulum variabile
Lineage: Bacteria; Bacillati; Bacillota; Clostridia; Eubacteriales; Oscillospiraceae
Description: partial 16S ribosomal RNA
Rfam family: Bacterial small subunit ribosomal RNA
Source: RNAcentral
AACGUAGGUGGCAAGCGUUGUCCGGAAUUACUGGGUGUAAAGGGAGCGCAGGCGGACCGGCAAGUUGGAAGUGAAAUCUAUGGGCUCAACCCAUAAAUUGCUUUCAAAACUGCUGGCCUUGAGUAGUGCAGAGGUAGGCGGAAUUCCCGGUGUAGCGGUGGAAUGCGUAGAUAUCGGGAGGAACACCAGUGGCGAAGGCGGCCUACUGGGCACCAACUGACGCUGAGGCUCGAAAGCAUGGGUAGCAAACAGG